Long non-coding RNA from Microplitis demolitor, 587 nucleotides. RefSeq lists it as uncharacterized. Lineage: Eukaryota; Metazoa; Arthropoda; Insecta; Hymenoptera; Braconidae. The transcript is spliced from 5 exons. The record is from RefSeq and is a predicted model, not a curated record.
UAAUUCGACACAUGAGAGGCACGAGAGUUACAGACACCGGGUACAUUUCUGAGUAUUUUACAUUAAAUUUCUUUUUCUUUGGCUUCAACCAACGGUUUGAUCAUGAUGAAAUUUUCUAUUCUCUAUUUCCUGGAAAAUGAAAUGGAGUUAUCGCAAAGUAACCAGUGGAAAGUCAACACUUGAAAUUGAAGCCUUGAGGCCAUUAUGGCACAGGUUAAUCGUUAAAGUUUGUGAGUCCUAGAAAUAACUGGGUGACAAGAACUUGAAAUUCAUCAUGAUGACUUUCUGAUUGAGAUUUUUUUAUAAAUUGUACUCAUGAGGUCGUGAACUACAAAAAUACUCCAGUUUGAUGAGUCAUCUUUGGUAAAUCUACAAAUGAUGGAGAUGAGUUAGAGCCAACCCAUUCUUCAGCAUGUAGCUAAGAUGAUUGAUAAUCAAAUUUCUGAUUUGAUUCAGAACAAAUAUUGAGGAACUCACAUACGAUCAGUGGAUUUAUUGCUGUUUGUCAAGAAUUUGAUUACCACGAAAAAUAUAAGCAAAUGAAUAUAUUAAUUUGAAUUUAUUAAAUAAACAAAAUAUAAAAUAAG